GUAAUACGGAGGGUGCAAGCGUUAAUCGGAAUUACUGGGCGUAAACCGCACGCAGGCGGUUUGUUAAGUCAGAUGUGAAAUCCCCGGGCUCAACCUGGGAACUGCAUUUGAAACUGGCAAGCUAGAGUCUCGUAGAGGGGGGUAGAAUUCCAGGUGUAGCGGUGAAAUGCGUAGAGAUCUGGAGGAAUACCGGUGGCGAAGGCGGCCCCCUGGACGAAGACUGACGCUCAGGUGCGAAAGCGUGGGGAGCAAACAGGAUUAGAUACCCUGGUAGUCCACGCUGUAAACGAUGUCGAUUUGGAGGUUGUGCCCUUGAGGCGUGGCUUCCGGAGCUAACGCGUUAAAUCGACCGCCUGGGGAGUACGGCCGCAAGGUUAAAACUCAAAUGAAUUGACGGGGGCCCGCACAAGCGGUGGAACAUGUGGUUUAAUUCGAUGCAACGCGAAGAACCUUACCUACUCUUGACAUCCAGAGAACUUUCCAGAGAUGGAUUGGUGCCUUCGGGAACUCUGAGACAGGUGCUGCAUGGCUGUCGUCAGCUCGUGUUGUGAAAUGUUGGGUUAAGU
This 566-nucleotide ribosomal RNA is filed under the name Serratia marcescens. RNAcentral describes it as "bacterial SSU rRNA". It matches the Rfam family "Bacterial small subunit ribosomal RNA", at positions 520 to 1085 of the family's 1533-position model. Lineage: Bacteria; Pseudomonadati; Pseudomonadota; Gammaproteobacteria; Enterobacterales; Yersiniaceae. The record is from RNAcentral.